GAGCCGGGGACAGUGAAGAUGGAGAGGAGAUUGUGUCUAGGUAUUUAGAAGAUAGACUUUGUGGCACUUGGAGAGUGACUGGACGGGGAGCAUUAAGGGUAACCUUCCCAUGUCUGGACAAUGGGAGGAGUUGGAGCAGGUCUUUGGGAAAAUGAGGAAUUUGGUUUUGACUGUGUUGAGCUUAUAUUACCUAUGAGACACUUAGGAGGAGUCCUUUUAUCACUCUGUAAAGCCUCCGUGAGUGGUUGGAGGAACACGUGGAAACAGGAAGCGCAGGGGCGGGGGCUUCCUGAGUAGCAUGUGUAACGCAUGUUGCAGAAAAUGGCCUUGUUUCGGAUGCAGCCUAAGUUGAGUGUCCCCUGUGUUGUUUGUUCAUCUAGGAUUUACAUUUCCUCCCCAAAGGGUUUGGCUCUGUUGGUUUGUCAUCUUCAUUUUGGAACAAUGGCAUUGCUUAUAUCCAUACCAAGCACCCCUGGCCUCUCGUGUGUUUGGUAUAUUUCGUGUCAAGCUAAUAUUUGGUUGCCUUUGUCUAGUAGUUAUCCAAUUCCCGGGCCAAUCACGUGUACCUAGGUCAGUAAAGUUGCUUUUUCUUCGCAUGUGUGGUAUGAGUCAUAGCAAGUGAAACAAGGAAAAGAGUUUGGACUAUUUUGUCCUAAAGUUACUUGUUCCUAUGGCAGAGCCAGAUACCUACUUGAGGCUUCAUGCCUCCCCUCCCCCACUCCCCCCAUUGCCCUGGGAAAUUAAGUUGUUGCAAAGAACUGUACAGAGUGGAAAUUUGAGAGGGUGAGACAAGUUUUUUGAAGAGUCUGACCUGAUUUUAUGUCAUUAUGUUAAAUAUCAGUAAAACCAGAAAUAACUAAGAUUUUAGUUUAUGAAAAUAGCUUAUUAUAUUUCAAGGUUUAUGGGACAUAGGUCAAGGACUAGCUGCUAAUUAUUGGUAGAUGGGCUGUUUAUUUUAAACUUGUUCAAACUGUCAAUCUAAGCGUUCUUCACUAGUGUAAUGCCCCUUUAAAAAGCAUAUUGGAAAGAAAGUAAAACAACUGAGAAACAGUAGCAGUGGUGGUAUAAACAGGUAUAACCUGCAGUUUUGCUUUCUGCCACCAGAUGGUGCUUGUAUACUGACACAACAACGUACAGUCUGGAUACAUUCCCUUUGGUUCAUAUUCUAAGGCUGGUGGUUAAAUGAUAAAUGAGAGUUUAAACUGUAUGAAAUUGCUGAUAUUUGACUGUUUUUUAACCUAUAAAUAUGUCAGCUUCAUCUGGUUCAACAUAGUAGGCAAAAAUCAGCCAGAUACACCACUGAUAUUUGGAUGAAUGGGCUUUCUGCUUUCAGAAUUAUGUAACGGAAAUUUUAUACAGGUUGGUAGUAUUAGCUCUGAGAAAUUUGAAACAUUCUGAAUUUUUUUUUCUCCUUUGAUUUGGAGAGUCAGAAUAUUUUUAUUUUUUCUACCCUUUCUGAGGAUAUGAAAUUAAGUGUAAGGAUAACUGAUGUAAUUAAUAGUCAUUUGCUAAGUCUUAGGAAUGCCUUUUCGGACAACUUCCUAGAAAGUGAGAAACAGUAAUUGUAGUAAAUGUGUAACACGCCCCAUUGCAAGUCAGGUGGUUUCUAGUUCUUUGCUUUCAACAAAUCGCAAGAGGACCUGAUCAAGUUGUCAGUGGCCACAGCAUGAAAAUAACUUCUGACGGUAGAUGACAGUGGAAGUGGCGACACAGAAAAAACCUUUUACUUUUAGUAAAACUCAGCGGUGAUUUAUGUAUUAACGUGAA
This is a long non-coding RNA of Myotis davidii, 1767 nucleotides long. RefSeq lists it as uncharacterized. The transcript has 2 exons. The record is from RefSeq and is a predicted model, not a curated record. Lineage: Eukaryota; Metazoa; Chordata; Mammalia; Chiroptera; Vespertilionidae.